RNAcentral lists this non-coding RNA (25 nucleotides) under Rattus norvegicus (Norway rat). Lineage: Eukaryota; Metazoa; Chordata; Mammalia; Rodentia; Muridae. The record is from RNAcentral.
UGAGUUAGAGUCUCUCUUAUCCUUU